This 253-nucleotide ribosomal RNA is filed under the name uncultured microorganism. RNAcentral's name for it is "partial 16S ribosomal RNA". It matches the Rfam family "Bacterial small subunit ribosomal RNA", at positions 524 to 776 of the family's 1533-position model. The record is from RNAcentral.
UACGGAGGGUGCGAGCGUUAUUCGGAAUUACUGGGCGUAAAGCGCGCGUAGGCGGUGCGGUAAGUCAGGGGUUAAAGGCUGCAGCUCAACUGCAGUAAGGCCUUUGAUACUAUCGCGCUAGAGUACCAGAGAGGAUGGCGGAAUUCCCGGUGUAGCGGUGAAAUGCGUAGAUAUUGGAAGGAAUACCGGUGGCGAAGGCGGCCACCUGGUCAGAAACUGACGCUGAGGUACGAAAGCGUGGGGAGCAAACAGG